UUCACCUUUUAUUAAAUGUAUAUUUUUAUUAUUGUUUUUUUUUCUUAGCUAUUGUUUUGGCACAUGGUAUUUCCACCAUAACUUCUGCACAAAGAUGUCUUCUGUUCAUCUUGAACAUAAAAAAAAAACAAAACAAAAAAAAAACUAAAUGCAAAAUUUUAUGUGACAGCUUAUUUUUUUGCCUCACAAUUAUGCUGUGAAUUUUAGAAAGGAAAAAAAAAUUCUUUUUAUUUUUUUCUUUGGGAUAAUUUAUUGUACCAAAGCUGUUUUUAUAGCACAAAGAUGUCUGUAACCAAUAAUGUAGCAGUUUGGCACAUUUGUAACUAGAUUUUAAAUGUAAUUUUAAAAUUUGGAUACAUUAUUGUUUUGUCAAAACUGGAACGGUUUGCUAAACCAUCGUUAAAAGCAAACGUCUAGAAUAAUAAAAUGACUCAGUAUUGAGAAACACAUACAAACAUCCAUUUUGCACAUAUUUAGGCGUAAAUACUGGAUAAUCAGAGUGGUUCUCAUCACUUGUUGACGUGACAUUAGGAAUCCUCUGCAGCCAUUUUGGGCAGCCUUUUCAGAUGACAGCAGGGAGACAAGAGUUGAACAUACCCUGUUUAGCAUUUAAGUGGUUCUUCUGUCUACAAUUGUAA
Non-coding RNA from Pelobates cultripes (western spadefoot toad), 638 nucleotides. Lineage: Eukaryota; Metazoa; Chordata; Amphibia; Anura; Pelobatidae. The record is from the annotation of a GenBank genome assembly.